UAAUAGUAACAACAAUAGUAACACUACUACCAAGAGUUGGGAUUGAUUGUCAUUGCCUGCAAGUCACCACUUAUGCUAACAAAUGUAAACUCUUGUGGCAAGAGUUUGAGCAGAUGUUGAUAAAUGUUUUAACACUUGCUGGCACAAGGAAGUGAUUCUUCUGUCUCUGUUUCUCCUUUCCGGUAUUUGGAUUCGGUGAGGUCUCUAAGCUUCUGGACCUAUCAAUUACUCUGAACCAGCCUUUUUCUUACUAACCAGGUCCAUUCUAUUUUUGUUUUCUUAGCAAUAGAAUGGCCUUUCUCUUGCAUAGAUUGAUGUUAAUAAUUGUAUAUUAGUUUGUUUGUAGGUUGUCAUUUGAAACCCUUUUCUUGCUCUUUGAACUGUUUUUGAGUAUUAAAAGAACGAAAAUUAAAAAUAAUCUGCAGAUUGUGCACAUAUGAGUGGCAAAACAACUUGCUUAUUGUUUCUAGAUCUUCAAAGACAAACCUGAUGUAUAGGGUUAAGUUUCCUUUUCGAAGAAAUGAAAAAUUGACUACGGCAAAGAUACAUAGUUGUAUGCGGCGGGUGGUUGUUAAUUACUAAUGUUGUCUCACUUCCACCAUUUGACAAUAUAUCAUACAAUGCAUAAUGCAAACAUAGAUUUUUGCUUUCUGUCAUUUAUGUUUAUUCCACUGUUAAUAUAUCAUACAGUGCAGAAUGCAAACAUUGAUUUUUGCUUUUUGUAAUUUAUGUUGAUUCCACUGUUAAUAAUUUGUCUACCUUGAUUGUGCAGGUGUUCAUUUUGUACAUUGUAACGGUAACAUUACUCUUUGAGAUCCUUGCUCUAGCAAUCCUUAAAGGUGUGGAUUGUUUUUUUUUUACAUUCUUUUUAUUUGCAAAGUUAUGUUUCAUAAUCAUAUCUUGCCUUUUGUUUCUUUAAUCGUCUCCAUGUUGCUGGUCCUUAGUUAUCUUGUUUUCUUGCACGCAGCUGAGGGCCCAAGGUGAGGAGAUGAAGACCUGUGUCGGGAGGGUGCAAGAACUUGUACAAGCCAUACAAAUGUCCGGCCUCCAAAUCUCGCUACCAGCACCUCAUCUUGCUCCACCUUCAACCUCAGAGCCACCUUGCCUUGUCGAUACCCAGUAGC
Molecule: long non-coding RNA, 1124 nt
Filed under: Malus domestica (apple)
Lineage: Eukaryota; Viridiplantae; Streptophyta; Magnoliopsida; Rosales; Rosaceae
Description: long non-coding RNA (MDOM_LNC001053)
Source: RNAcentral